CUGAAGGCACGUGUUUUAGCAACGCCGUGAGGGCGCUGCUGUUAGCCCUUUAAAAGGGAGCAGGUUUCCCGAGAACGGGAGUUGAGUUUCCAACAGUUAUACGGGCUGGAGGCCACGACUUAUUCUACUGAAGCUUUUUAGGGGAGAGGAAGGCACCGAUGCGCCUUCCCAGCUCCUGGCAGCAGCGCAAGUGGCACGAGACGUAUCUUCGUCUUGGGGCACGGUCGUGAGCAGAGAGCAGCUCCUAGACGCUCAGAGAGCGGACGGCCUUUGUCAGCGGGUGUCUCAAUGGUUAGCUGAGCAGGACUCGGCAGGCACCGGAACGACUGACGGACGGCACGACUCCUAUCUGCUGGGCGAGGAUGGCAUCCUGUUCAGAUACAUACCCCAGGCGGAUGACGAUGACGGCUCAUCCCCAUUCAGAGUCGUGGUGCCACGGAAGUUGCGUAAGUCUUUCAUACGUUACUUUCAUGAUUCGGCCUUGGCAGGUCACAGCGGUGGCAGGAAAACUUAUGAAAAGUUAUGUCGUGUUGCGACAUGGCCAGGAAUGAGGCAGGAUGUAACAAAGUAUGUUCGUACUUGUCCCGUAUGCCAGAGAGCAAAACCUCGUGGUGGUCCACCCCCUGGGCGCUUACAGCCUAUUCAGAGUAAUAGGCCCUGGCAGAUAGUUGCUUGUGAUGUGAUGGGACCGUUUCCACGUAGUCCUAGAGGUAACCAGUAUUUGUUUGUGGUUACUGAUCAUUUCACGAAAUGGGUUGAGCUGUUUCCUCUCAGGACGCUGACUUCCAGAGAGUGUGGGAAAGACUACUCGACACCUUUUGCCGGUUCAGGUUUCCUGCUCAGCUCAUCACAGAUAACGCUACCUACUUUACAAGUAAGGUGUUCUCAGAUUCUUGCGCUGUCUUAGGCAUUCGGCACAAGAAGACUUCCCCAUAUCACCCUCAGGCUAACAUUACCGAACGUGUUAAUCGGAACCUGAAAAUGAUGUUCGUUGCUUUCACUAGUCAGCACCACCGUGAUUGGGAUCUUCUCCUGGCUGAACUGGCGUUCGCUACACGGACAACAGUAAACAGAUCUACAGGCUUCACCCCGGCGUUCCUGAACUUAGGACGAGAGGCACCUUUUCCAGUGGAGAAUGCUCUACGCCUCCGGGAUGACAGCACCCAGCCUCCUUAUUCAAGGUUCGCUGAGGAACUCCGGAGUCGACUAGACGAUGCAGCUCGGACGGCUCGGGAGAAUCUGGACGUCGCACGGUUGGAUCAGGCUCGCCAGUACAACCGAGGACGACGGAACCUCACCUACAGCGUCGGUGACCUCGUCCUUCGACGGACUCACCCGCUAAGUGAUGCGUCACGAGGCUUUGCAGCCUCACUUGCAGAUAGGUGGGAUGGCCCCUUCGAGGUAAGUGGGUGCUCCUCCGGCCUCACUUACAGGCUUCGUCGCUGUGACACGGGCGAAGCAACUGGGCCAGUGCACAUCUCGGACCUGAAACCUUACCACCUCCGAGACCCCGAGAGCGGAGACUCUGACCUUCCGCCCCCUCAACACCUGGACCAGGAUCCCGCUACCGGACCAGCUUCCAGUCGCUACAACUUGCGUCCCCGCAGGCGGCGCACGUAGUAGCCACUAUCUCGGUCACUAUGACCUAGUGCUCACGAGUUAUGUGAUAUUAGUGUGAUUUCUGUUUCGCAGUUUUCCACAAAGUCAUUUUAGGGGAGAGCCCUUUCGAGCUCUCACGAUGUGGAGAUAACCUCUCACCGUAUUCCCUUUUUCUCCUCUCGGCAGACACCAUGCCGCGACCCUGCCGACAGAGGACGGGCAAGCCCCGACCCCCCCGCCAAGAGACAGGAGGUCGCCCACGACCCAGGGCAUCCCCGGAGAGGACGUCUCCGCAGCAGCAGCAGCGAUCGGCGGCCACGUGGAUCGUCGUCCACAACGCACGGCCAGUAGGAUGGGCAUCGCACACCAGAUGGGCGGCUCAGGUCCGGCCCCUCCGCGGCACCAGCCCUUCGCGGAUACCCCUGCCCUUCCGAGGGUUAACCCUCACCGACAGGCAUCCUCAGGACCCGCCCAUCCCAUUGACCGCAGAAGAAGAGCGCCUCCUGUGUCCCGUAUGUCGGGUGCCAGAAGUGCACCGGAGCACCCACUUGCGAGGCGCCCUCCACCGCUCCAGGAUCACUGCCCCACGCACCGCCGGGUCAGACGUAGAUGCGGCCCUCGCAACCCUCAGGCGCCUCCGUCCAGACCUCCUUCGACAAGGCCCUCCACCGCCUCCCCCUGAACUCGAGCCUAGCCCGGAGGACAUCAUCCUCGAAAUGCCAUCCGACGAUGACCUUUGAGCGAAGAGAAGGCAAGGAAGCAAGUUGGCGACGUGGAAUCAUUCGUUUAUUUAUGUUAUACUAAUUUUCCAUUAAUACAGCGUUGUUUCGCUUAGUGUGUGCCAGUUGCACAGAACAGUUAUGCGAUUUGAACACUUUUCAGUGAACCAUGUGAACAUUUUGUGAACUUUUAUCUUAUAACCCCAGAGUCAUGUUUCUGGGUGGGGGAGUGUUGUGAGUUUGUUUACAUGUGUGAAAAUGCAUUUCGAGGCCGUGCGAUAACGGGAUAGAUAACGUUUCUGAAGGCACGUGUUUUAGCAACGCCGUGAGGGCGCUGCUGUUAGCCCUUUAAAAGGGAGCAGGCUUCCCGAGAACGGGAGUUGAGUUUCCAACGGUUGUACGGGCUGGAGGCCACGACUUAUUCUACUGAAGGUAAUAAACCUUUCUGUUCUGUUGUUCA
This is a long non-coding RNA of Ornithodoros turicata, 2778 nucleotides long. RefSeq lists it as uncharacterized. The transcript has 2 exons. Lineage: Eukaryota; Metazoa; Arthropoda; Arachnida; Ixodida; Argasidae. The record is from RefSeq and is a predicted model, not a curated record.